RNAcentral lists this ribosomal RNA (348 nucleotides) under Bothrocalvia albolineata. Its description in RNAcentral is "partial 12S ribosomal RNA". The record is from RNAcentral. Lineage: Eukaryota; Metazoa; Arthropoda; Insecta; Coleoptera; Coccinellidae.
UUUAAAUGUAGAUUAAAAAACUAAGUGAUUAAUAGUUAUGUUCUUUAAAGCUAAAUGAUUUGGCGGUAUUUUAAUCUUUUCAGAGGAACCUGUUCAGUUAUUGAUAAUCCACAAUUAUAUUAACUUAAAUUAGAAAUUUUUAUAUCGUCGUUGUUAAAUAUUUUAUAAGAAUUUAAUAUUUAAAAUAUUUUAUUAAGAAGUAAAUCAGAUCAAGGUGAAGUUUAUAUUUAAGAUGAAAUGGGUUACAUUAAAUUAAAUUUUUGGAUUAUAGAUUUUAAAAAUUAUAUGAAAUUGGAUUUGAAAGUAAUUAGUUAUAUUUAUUUCUAAUGAUUAAGCGCUAAAAUAUGU